RNAcentral lists this long non-coding RNA (323 nucleotides) under Mytilus galloprovincialis (Mediterranean mussel). The record is from RNAcentral. Lineage: Eukaryota; Metazoa; Mollusca; Bivalvia; Mytilida; Mytilidae.
CAAUAACACAGACAUUAACAACUAUAGGUCACCGUACGGAAUUCAACAAUGAGCAAAGCCCAUACCGCAUAGUCAGCUAUAAAAGGCCCGAUAAGAUAAUGUAAAACAAUUUAAACGAAAAAACUAACGGCCUUAUUUAUGUAAAAAAAAAUGAACGAAAAACAAAUAUGUAACACAUAAACAAACGACAACCACUAAAUUACAGGCUCCUGACUUGGGACAGGCACAUACAUAAAUAAUGUGGCGGGGUUAAACAUGUUAGCGGGAUACCAACCCUCCCCUAACCUGGGACAGUGGUAUAACAGUACAACAUAAGAACGAAG